This is a long non-coding RNA of Vombatus ursinus (common wombat), 3299 nucleotides long. NCBI's taxonomy places the organism in Eukaryota, Metazoa, Chordata, Mammalia, Diprotodontia, Vombatidae. The record is from Ensembl.
CAGAGGGGGAUUGUAGGAACGGAGGAGAACUGACUUACAUGCACCAUUACAGAGAUAAAUCAGAGAGACUGUAGCAUCUAGAGCUGGCAAAGUCUUCAGGGAUCAUUUUAGCUAACUCCAUCAUUUAUAGUUCAGGAAACAGGCUUAAAGUGGGGGAGAAGCUGCUCCAAGGUCACAGAGCUACCAUGUGGGAAAGCCAGGACUCAGACCCUGACCCUCUGGCUGCCAGAGGGCUCCACCAGAUGUUAGGUUCUGUGGGAGGAAGAGGCCACGACAAGCCCAUCCUCCAUCCUGAUGUCAGCUUCUCUACUCCACAGGUGUCAAUGCUGAAGGCAGUGCCUCCCUGGCAUCACUUAGCCAUCCCUGUGCCAUCUCCUGGGCUCUCCAUCUGUCCCUGCACCCAAAAGCGCCUGGAAAUCCACGUCCAGAAGCUAGUCCACCGGCAAAAGUGGGGACCGCCUCAGAAGCUCCAGGAAUCCUGGGCCCAGUACCUGCUCUCCCAGUUAUCAGGACACACAGGCCUUGAGAAAUCCAGUGAGCCUGGUGUCUGUUCCCCACUCUUCCCAAGCUCCUGUAGGUGUCUGGAGGAGCACUACAAAGAGCUAUACAUCCUGGGGGGCUGGCAGUUUAUUCGGGGGUUCUGCAAUAUCCAGGCUCAUCUUCUCUGCAAGGUGCCCCUCCCCCGCCUCCUGGAGGGGCCGGGCUGGAUGGAGCAGACCCGGGAGAGAACAUCCGUCAUCUCCCCAGCACCUCUCCCAGUCUCAAAGGAAAUCCCCCUUACGGAUUCCCCACCAGCUCCAGAGGGGACACCUUGCCACUCUCUGCUGUCCAUUGAAAGGCCACGCACGCCUGUGGAUCAGCUCGUGGAAGUACCUGAAGCACAGGAUCUAGAUCCAGAGAGACAAGACCAGCGGCUGGCCAGGGAUGGAGGCACCCCGACAACCCAGGCCGUGGGAGUGGGGGAGGGCCUGGUUGCAGGUAAGGAUGUUUUAGAGGUUGAGGGGAGUCCCACCUACAAAGAUACCAGCUUCCCAUGGAGCCGAGCUUUGGAAGACGUUGACUCAGAAGCCUUAGAACUGGAGGCUGCUGAGGAGUCCCCUGCUACCACUCCUCGGACACAGCCACUGGCCCAAAUGUGGGAGAGUCUCCAGCCCCCUGAAAGGGAGGAAAGUCUUCAAGACUUCCAUAAGGACUUCUCUGGAAGGGGGCACAGGGCAGCAGGUGGCAUCAGUCUCACAGCAGGUCAGCAACAGCACCAGUGUGGCCAAGCUGGGGGCACUGCCCUGGAGCUCAGCCACCAUGCUACACCUUCCCCGGGGUGGAGUGAAGAAAGCUGGACUCUGAAUCCUCUCCCCCUUUUUGCUACACCCCCAGAAGAUAGUAACUGUCCCCCAACACCCUCAGAUAUUUAUUUCAAGGAGGUCACAUCAUCUCAUGUGGUGCCCCCAAAGCAGCCAGCCCUAAAGAAGAGCUCCCAGCUCCUUCUGGAACCCCUCAUGCGGCGCAAGGUCAUUCACCUGAAGUGGGGUCUCCCCCGAAGGAUCCAGGAGUCCGAGUGGUUGUUUCAGCUGAUGGGGCCCUCUUCACCUUCUAACGCUGGCGUGCAGAGCCCCAGCCCAGAAGAGAAGGAGACCAGUAAGGAAGAGUCAAAGAUGCAGGAAGGUGAGCCCACCCUGGGAGGGACGAUGACCCAAGGCGGCUGCGCAGCAGGGGGGAGCCCCGCCUGCCAGAACCCGAGCCUUCCCAAGGCUGCUGGUGGCACCCCUGACCCUGGCCUACAGCUACUGAUCCAAUUCAAGGAGAGACUCAAGUGCCGAGAGAAAGAAGCCCAGAAGCUGCCCAUGGCACCCCGAAAGAGGAAAGGGAAAGAUGACCCAGACCAUCCAGACAGGAGGGGCCUCUCCGUCAGCCUUGACGGAGCCAAGGGGCCCAAACAAGUCCCAAACCUCUGGGAGCUGCAAGAUCUCGGCGAUGAGGCUCUAUCUCAGGCCACACUGCCGGUCAUCACAGACUGUCCGCAGGGAGGUGCCACCCGGGAGCAGACGGGACCCAUCCCCAAAGACUCCCCGUCCGCUGUGGCCUGGGAGUGGAGGGGCAGUCAGGAGACUGCAGAGGAGACAUCUCCCAGAAGCAGGGGGAGCAGCUCAGAGCCAAGGCCAGGCCCUUCUAACGCAGCCCAGGGAGUCUUUGAGAAGUUAGGGAGCCCAGGUCCUACAGCCGGCAUGAAAGCUUGGCUGUAUGAUCCCCGCAAAAAGGAGACAAAGCCGAAGGUCUCCCAGGACAGCCAGGCACUGCCAUGGGCAACGGUGUGUCACUGGUCGAUGCCUUCAGCCUCUCAGUCGCAGAGCGUGAGCGAUUCUGGGGGGGACACCCCUCAGAGCCACAGCUCAGAAGUCCGCCUCUUGCCGGCAGAACAGAGAAAGAAGAUUUUUCGGUUUCAGGGAGGCGGGCUACCCGAGUCAGGGACCUCCUCGUGCUCCUCAGGCAGGACCAAAGGACCUUUUCGAACUGUAGCCAUGAGACUAGGCACAGCCCUCAUGAACAAGAUGCCCUGGUCCCCGAGGCAAGCCAGCUCGGCAACCUCUGUUUCCAACCACGACCAACACCGAGAGGAUCCUGACUUCCCGAGCGGGGCUGGGCUCCCUGGGAGAUCCUGGGACAGAGAAGAGGGCGAAGGGUCUGACCACCAAGGAUUCACCAGGGGCCAUGCUUCCCUGAACUUGGAAAGGGACUCUUCACCCCCAGAUCAAUCCUCCUGUGAUGAUGGCAUGGGGGAAUCAUCAGCACAGAGCCUUCCGAGUGAACAAGGACCUACCAGACCCAGCUGGGUGAAGCGACUCAGAGGUCUUCUAACCCGGCUCAACUUCAACAAAUAGGCCCUAGAUUCAGAUCUCAUGCCAGAGAACACCUGGUGUUCCCUGCUCUUGACAAAGCCUCUAGUAAAAGAUGCUUUUUCAGGCUUUUCUGACUUGUGGGUUUUUCCUCCAUUGAUCUUUUGGGGUUCAUAGACUCAGAACCAGAAGGGUCCUCAGAGGUCCUCUGGGCUAAGGCACUCAUUUUACAGACAGGUAAACUGAGACCCACUCCUCUUCCCUGAGAAGUCAAGCAACAGACUCGACGUCACAAAAAGGGUACAGAACUAGGCUUCGAAUCCAGGUCUCCCAAUUCCAAACCCAGUACUGCUUCUCUGCUGAGACCCUUUGUCGUAGAGAACUCUGUACUUAGCUGCAGGAGUGGUAGGUUAGGGGAGAUGAUUGAAAAGCUGGUGUUUGGAGGAGGGUGGGAGCCAGAGCUAGAAG